CACCGGCUCCAGCUAAGCACUCUGUGAUAAUUUUUCUUAGCAGUGUCUUGUGGCCUUGCAGAGGAAAAUGGAACUUGGUAUUCCUUUCCCCUUUGUGCCAGUCAUGUGCUUCCUGAUGCCAGGCCUCCCUCCAGCCCUCCCAUCACAGGGAAACUAGUACAGACCACCCCCACAGACCUGUGGACUGACACCUGACUACCUUUGGGGGCAUCUGACCUUGCCUGCGGUCCCACGGUGACUCACAGUGAAACUAAGAUGCACAGCUCGGGUAGGAACCUGCUGGCCCAGCAAGAGAAUCUCUUCUUCGGGGACCCAUUAAGCUAGGCUCUGUCAGAUUGCUGGCCACAGUCCUCGAAAUCAAUUUCGUGACACAUUAAUGGGUUGUGAUUCUGAGUUUGUAAAUAGUUGGUCUGUUUGGACAUUGAAGUUACCCACGAUGAUGGCAAGACUUGGAAUGAAGUGGUGCCAAAGUCUUCAAUGAAUAUGGAGGGGCAGAGGCACAGCUCCAUGCAUUUGUCCUCGUGAAUGGCCUGUGAUUUCAGCACAAUCUAUUAGGUAGUAAUUCCAAUAUCCAAUUGAAGAAUAGAAAGGACUCCCCUGACGCACCAUGGGUAUGUAUCAUUUAAGCAAAAACAAAAGACAAAAGACAGUGGAUACUGAACAACCAGAUUCCCGUUUGUAAAACCUUGGAUCCAUAGUUUCCUCUAAUCCCACAGAAGGUUUUCUCAGACUCUGGCUGUCAGAGAGGAGAACUAUGAACUCACCUACUCAUUCAUGCUGCCCAGAACCAGAUGCACAAAGAACAAACAAGUUUCCCAGCAGGACUCAAAAUAGAAGGGAUGGUGACUGCAUGCCUUACCAUUCGGGAUCCUCUUCUUCCCGGAGAACUCCGCGCAGGCAGGCUUGGAGAGGGAAUGAAUUGAUCUGGCAUCGUGAAGAUUUGUUCAGCCUUCCCUGAGUGCAUCUUCUGACUCCUGGGGUAGGUAAGAAAUGGAGGGGCUCCUGGAGUCACCUUCAAGGCAGAUGAAGAGGAGCUAUGGAGGCCCUUUGAAGCAUGGCCCCUGGGCAUGGGAUCUGGUGAGAAACCUCCUUCCCAGCUUUGCCACUGAAACCAUGGAUUUUAAACUUCGGCAGAGUUUCCAAGCUUUCAUUUCCCAUCUAUCAAUAGGGAUAAUAAUAAUAAUAUACCUGUAUGACCUUGUUCACAGGUUUGCUGUCAAGGUCAAAUAAGACAAGCAAAAGUACCUUGUAGAUCCAGUAUUAUACUAGUUAAGAAGAAAGACUGGAGCCCAGUGGUCCGGAUUAAGUCCGCACACCUCCCCCAGCUCCACUAUGCACUUGUUGGGUGACCUUGGACAAGUUAUUUAACCUCCCUAUAACUCAGUUUCUUCCUUUACAAAAUAAGAAUGAGACUAGGACUUUCAUCAUAUGGUUAUGAGGAUUCAAAUGAGUUAAAUGUAAAGCACUCAGGCCAGGCGUGGUGGCUCACACCUGUAAUCCCAGCACUU
This 1508-nucleotide long non-coding RNA is filed under the name Homo sapiens (human). RNAcentral's name for it is "HSALNT0404881". Lineage: Eukaryota; Metazoa; Chordata; Mammalia; Primates; Hominidae. The record is from RNAcentral.